This 318-nucleotide ribosomal RNA is filed under the name Burkholderia pseudomallei S13. Its description in RNAcentral is "bacterial LSU rRNA". It matches the Rfam family "Bacterial large subunit ribosomal RNA", at positions 2613 to 2925 of the family's 2925-position model. The record is from RNAcentral. RNAcentral also lists the same sequence under 5 other names. Lineage: Bacteria; Pseudomonadati; Pseudomonadota; Betaproteobacteria; Burkholderiales; Burkholderiaceae.
AAAACGUCGUGAGACAGUUUGGUCCCUAUCUGCCGUGGGCGUUGGAAGUUUGAAGGGGGCUGCUCCUAGUACGAGAGGACCGGAGUGGACGAACCUCUGGUGUACCGGUUGUGACGCCAGUCGCAUCGCCGGGUAGCUAUGUUCGGAAGAGAUAACCGCUGAAAGCAUCUAAGCGGGAAACUCGCCUUAAGAUGAGACUUCCCCGGGGACUUGAUCCCCUUGAAGGGUCGUUCGAGACCAGGACGUUGAUAGGUCGGGUGUGUAAGCGCAGUAAUGCGUUCAGCUAACCGAUACUAAUUGCCCGUACGGCUUGAUCCU